RNAcentral lists this long non-coding RNA (349 nucleotides) under Linum usitatissimum (flax). RNAcentral describes it as "long non-coding RNA (LUSI_LNC006078)". The record is from RNAcentral. Lineage: Eukaryota; Viridiplantae; Streptophyta; Magnoliopsida; Malpighiales; Linaceae.
GUGUAUAUAAUUUUAGAUUAUUACAAUCGUCUUGUACCCACAUGUGGACUACACUUCUUGGAUUACCACCUAUAUAUUGUAUGUGUGCUUACCUCGAAAUUUUAAUGAAAUAUAUGUAUACCGAUUUCGUCAAAAAAACAUGAUGUAUUGGAAAAAAAAUUGAACAAGAGAGAGUCGUACUGCUGCCUGGGAUGAAUUAUAAUCAAAUGAGAACUUUCUUGUACCGUUCUUCCUCCAAACAUUAAACCCCGUCCAAGUACGGCAGCUGCGUACUACUAUGUCCUCUCUCCCUCUCUCUCUCUCUCUCAAUAAUUAAAACCAAAACCGAAAAAUCAAAGGAUAAUCAGCG